CGGAGGGUGCAAGCGUUAUCCGGAUUCACUGGGUUUAAAGGGUGCGUAGGUGGGUAAGUAAGUCAGUGGUGAAAUCUCCGGGCUUAACCCGGAAACUGCCAUUGAUACUAUUUGUCUUGAAUACUGUGGAGGUCAGCGGAAUAUGUCAUGUAGCGGUGAAAUGCUUAGAUAUGACAUAGAACACCAAUUGCGAAGGCAGCUGGCUACACAAAUAUUGACACUGAGGCACGAAAGCGUGGGGAUCAAACAGGAUUAGAUACCCUGGUAGUCCACGCCCUAAACUAUGGAUACUCGACAUUUGCGAUAAACUGCAAGUGUCUGAGCGAAAGCAUUAAGUGUCCCACCUGGGAAGUACGAUCGCAAGAUUG
This 368-nucleotide ribosomal RNA is filed under the name uncultured organism. RNAcentral describes it as "bacterial SSU rRNA". It matches the Rfam family "Bacterial small subunit ribosomal RNA", at positions 526 to 896 of the family's 1533-position model. The record is from RNAcentral.